CCCUGGGCUCAGUGCUUGACUUGAGCCCCGGCAGCUCUGGGCUCGCUGCGUCAGUUCGGAAAGUAAAAAUAAUUGCUUGAGCCCUAGCCUCUCUUUCGUUGCAAAUUAAGCCCGGGCUAGACUGCUCUGUGUUGCUUGCAUAUGUCUUUGGACAGCUGUGUAAACAGGCAUGGGUGCGUAUGCACAGUGAUCACCCCUUUGGGGUAGUGCUGUGAGCCCCAAAAGUCAGCCGCAGUCUGCCCCCCGCUCCGGCCAGGACUAAUCAGGUGUUUGGACUUUCUUUGAGCAACCUGCACAAUUGGACAGCAGUCACUCAUCAUCGGCUGGGUCUGAGAAAGCAUGCAUCAUCCCACCAGGCAAGUGUCUACUACAACAGGGGCUUGAUCCUUCACCACUGAAAUAGACAAGAACUUUGCUAUUGACUGCAGUGAGCACAGGAUCUGACAUAGGAGCAGGAAGAGUCUCCCUAUCAGAGUAAUUGUCUUGGUUGUGCACCGAUUCCCAGCGGACAGACUUCCAUGGACUUCAGGCGCCAGGGAUCAGGCCCCAGACUGUCAGAGUAAAUCUGAACAUCCCAUUGAGAAACGAACCCUGCGCAAUCUGAGAGGAAGGUCCACGGACGACUCUGAAUCCACAUAGUGGCAAGAAUGGGGUUGCAUCUGUAAGGUGCCAGAUACCUUUAUACAAUACCAGGUAUAGCUAUAUAAAAGGCAAUUAAUAACCCUUUCUUUAUUAAUAAAAGGUAAUUAAUAAUUAAUAACAAGAAAAUGA
Caretta caretta (loggerhead turtle) is the source of this 771-nucleotide long non-coding RNA. RefSeq lists it as uncharacterized. NCBI's taxonomy places the organism in Eukaryota, Metazoa, Chordata, Testudines, Cheloniidae. The record is from RefSeq and is a predicted model, not a curated record.